GAUUANCGCUGGCGGCGUGCAUAACACAUGCAAGUCGAACGAUGAAACUUAAAAGAACUCUUCGGAGUGAUUUUAAGUGGAUUAGUGGCGGACGGGUGAGUAACGCGUGAGUAACCUGCCUUAGAGAAGGGGAUAGCCUUUGGAAACGAAGAAUAAUACCCUAUAACACCAACACCUCGCAUGAAGAGUUGGUCAAAGAUUUAUCGCUCUAAGAUGGACUUGCGUCUGAUUAGUUAGUUGGUGAGGUAACGGCCCACCAAGACAGCGAUCAGUAGCCGGCUUGAGAGAGUGUACGGCCACAUUGGGACUGAGACACGGCCCAGACUCCUACGGGAGGCAGCAGUGGGGAAUUUUGCACAAUGGGGGAAACCCUGAUGCAGCGACGCCGCGUGAUUUAGAAGGCCUUCGGGUUGUAAAAAUCUUUUCUAUGGGAAGAAAAUGACAGUACCAUAGGAAUAAGGACCGGCUAAUUACGUGCCAGCAGCCGCGGUAAUACGUAAGGUCCGAGCGUUGUCCGGAAUCAUUGGGCGUAAAGGGUACGUAGGCGGGUAAGCAAGUUAGAAGUGAAAUCCUGUAGCUCAACUACAGUAAGCUUUUAAAACUGCUCAUCUUGAGAUAUGGAAGGGAAAGUGGAAUUCCUAGUGUAGCGGUGAAAUGCGCAGAUAUUAGGAGGAAUACCGGUGGCGAAGGCGACUUUCUGGCCAUAAUCUGACGCUGAGGUACGAAAGCGUGGGUAGCAAACAGG
RNAcentral lists this ribosomal RNA (745 nucleotides) under uncultured Anaerococcus sp. RNAcentral describes it as "bacterial SSU rRNA". It matches the Rfam family "Bacterial small subunit ribosomal RNA", at positions 28 to 776 of the family's 1533-position model. Lineage: Bacteria; Bacillati; Bacillota; Tissierellia; Tissierellales; Peptoniphilaceae. The record is from RNAcentral.